CAGCGCCAGGUCCCGAAGCCUGAGGCUAUGGCUCCGCUCCACUUGACAGCCGGAAGCCCGGAUACCGGAGAGCGAGAGCCGGUGUGGAAGUAAGAAGACAACUCAAAGGAGUUGGUGAUUUCCUUUCACCUUGUGGACUGAACUCAGGCCAUCCAGUUUGGUGGCAAGCCACCUAACCUGCUGAGCCAAAUCAAACGCCAUCCUAUUCUUUUUUAAACAAGGCUUCUCUGUGUAGCCAAGGAUGACCUUGAGUUCAGAGUCUCCCUCUCUGGCUUCCAGAGGUCUGGGUUGCCGGUUGUCUGCACCACUAUGCUUACAGGACCAGGACUCUCCCAGGGCAGAGGGAAAAAGAUCACCACAUUCAGACCACCUCACUAAGAACCUCUCCGAAGAUAAUUGGAACGAUGGAGUUUAUGGUUUGUCUCUGUUCCACAUUUGACCUUCAGGGGGUGCUGAGAGCUUACACCUGGCUCACUGCCAUCCACUACGAGGGCCAGACAGAGCUUGGACUCUGGUCUCUGAGCCAACCUCCUUUUCAUCACCUGGAUAAUGGGAAAGUUGUGAUUCUUUAAUAAAUGAGGAAUACA
Long non-coding RNA from Mus pahari (shrew mouse), 587 nucleotides. RefSeq lists it as uncharacterized. Lineage: Eukaryota; Metazoa; Chordata; Mammalia; Rodentia; Muridae. The transcript has 3 exons. The record is from RefSeq and is a predicted model, not a curated record.